GGAUGUGAGGGCAAUCUGGCUGCGACAUCUGUCACCCCAUUGAUCGCCAGGGUUGAUUCAGCUGAUCUGGCUGGCCAGGCAGGUGUCCCCUUCCUCCAUCACCGCUCCAUGUGCGUCCCUCCAUGGGCGGUGGAAGAGGAGGACUUCCCCAAUAGAGGAGGACUAUUCUUCAGUCAAAGGUAUACGAGUAGCUGCGCUCCCCUGCUAGUACCUCCAAACAAGCUCUCAAGAUUUGUUGGGGAUCUAUUAUUUGCCAGGAGUUAUACAGGUGUUGAGGGUGCGGUGAUCAAAAAGAAUUAGUCUCAGCUAUUAAGGAGAUCACAAUUUGGCAGCAAAU
Molecule: small nuclear RNA, 337 nt
Filed under: Propithecus coquereli (Coquerel's sifaka)
Lineage: Eukaryota; Metazoa; Chordata; Mammalia; Primates; Indriidae
Description: 7SK RNA (ENSPCOG00000011296.1)
Rfam family: 7SK RNA
About the family: 7SK was discovered as an abundant small nuclear RNA in the mid-70s but a possible function has only recently been suggested. Two independent studies have found that 7SK RNA binds the CDK9/cyclin T complex (known as elongation factor P-TEFb).
Source: Rfam by way of RNAcentral